GGGUGUAAUAGCGCAAUCACAGCUUCCUACAGCCUUGACCUCCUGAGCUCAAGCAGUCCUUCCACCUCAGCCUCUGGAGUAGCUGGGACUACAGGCAUGCACCACACAUACCCAGGUAUUUUUUAUUUAUUUAUUUAUUUUUGUAGAGACAGGGCCUCCCUGUGUUGCCCAGGCUGAUGAACUGUAAUUUUUAACACACACAGUGUAGGGAAUGUGAAAGACUAUCACAGAGUAGAAGAAAAAAUUAUUUUCAGGGUUAGCAGGUGGAUUGUCCCAAGCAGUCACACUAGAAUCUGUGGACUGAAGCCACAUUUGCCAGCUCCAGGCUUCUAACACAUCUGAAACUGUGUACGUAGAACAGCUAGCUCAAUGCCUGGCAUAUGGUAAGCACACAGUAAAUUAGUGCCUUCCUCUUCUCCGUGGUUCCUUAAAACUGGCAACGCUAAAUUCUCUCUUUCAGUAUCAUGGAUAUAAUUUGUCCCAGCAACUUUAAUUCAUUUAAAGCAGUUAGAUGUUGUUUUAUAAUAUCUUCAGUUUUCUCUCACCAAUGUGUUUUCUAAUUGUUUAAACACUUGAGUGUCAAACAAUUGCCAGCCACCAUACUAAACACAACAUACAAAGAUAGAUAAAUAAGACACCAUCUCUGCCCUCAAACCAGUCACCAUCAUUUACUAAGCACCUGUUUUGUGCUAAGUACUGGGGUAAGCCUUGGGGAUAUAAAGAUUAAUAAAUUUUGAGCAUACAGUCUAGUAGGAGGAGACAAAUAAGUACAUAAGUACCAGGAAGUAUUAGGGGUGCUACAGUAGAAGAGUAAACACUAUGUACAGAGAGGCCAGAAAGGGAAAAGGGUCAGGCAGGGAAGGGAACACAGAGAGUGACAAUGUAUAGUUUGAAAGAUGAGGAUGCUUUAUUUGCAAACUAUCUUAACAAGGGAUUCAUAACCAGAAUAUAUAAGGAGCUCAAACAAUAGCAAAAAGAACAAUCCAACUUAAAAAUGGCCAAAAGAUCUUAAUAGGUAGUUUUUGAAAGAAGAUACACAAAUGGCCAACAGAUAAAUCAAAAAAUGUUCAACAUCACUAAUCAGAGAAAUGGAAAUCAAAAUCAAUGAGAUAACAUCUCACCCCAAUUAAUUACUUUUAUCAAGAAAGAAUGAAUGCUAGUGAGGAUGUGGAAAAAGGAGAGCCCUGCCUGGUACACUGUUGGGAAUGUAAAUUGGUACAGCCACUGUGGAAGACUACAGAGGUUCCUCAAAAAACUAAAAAUAGAACUAUGCUCCAGCAGUUCCACUACUGGGUAUAUAUAUAUCUCCAAAAGGAAAGAAAUCAAUGUAUCAAAAAGAUACCUGCACUCCCAUGUUUAUUGCAGCAGUAUUCACGAUAGCCAAAACGUGGAAUCAACGUAAGUGCCCAUCAAUAGAUGAAAGGCUAAAGAAAAUGUAUUAUUCAGCCAUAAGAAUGAAUGAAAUCCUGUCAUUGGCAGCAACAUGGAUGGAAUUGGAGGUCAUUAUGUUAAGUAAAAUAAACCAAGCACAGAAACAAAUAUUGCAUGUUCUGUCUCACAUAGGAGUUAAAAAAGUGGAUCUCAAGAAAAUAAAGAAUAGAUUGGUAGUUACCAGAGGCUAGGAAGGAUGGGGAGGAUGAAGAGAGGUUGACUAGUGGGCACAGAUAAUACAGUUUGAAGAACUAAGACUGGUGUUGGAUAGAUCAGGGUGGCAUAGUUAUUAAUUUACUGUACAUUUCAAAACAGCUAGAAGAUAAUUUUGAUGGUGCCUAAAUCCUGUAAUCCCAACACACUGGGAGGAUCAGUUGAAGCCAGGAGUUCAAGAACAGCCUGGGCAACAGUGAGAUUUCAUCGUUACAAAAAAAUUUAAAAAUUAGCCAGGUGUGGUAGUGCACAUCUGUAAUCACAGCUACUCAAGAGGCUGAGACGGGAGAAGCGCUUGAACCAGGGAGGUGGAGGUUGCAGUGAGCUGAGAUGGCGCCACUGCACUCCAGCCUGGGUGACAGAGCGAGACUCCGUCUCAAAAAAAAAAAAAAAAAGGCCGCGCGUGGUGGUGGGCGUCCUGUAAUCCCAGCUACUACUUCGGAAGCUAAAGCACGAGAAUCGCUUCAACCUGGGAGAUGGAGGUUGCAGUGAGCUGGGAUCACGCCAGUGCACUCCAGUCUGGGCUGUAGAGUGAGACUCUCAAAACAAAACAUCACUCUGGCAGCACUGUAGAGAAUGAACUGGUAGGGGCAAGACUAUUUGGAGACUUGCAGUAAUAUUUCAGGCAAAAUACGAGGAAGGCUUAAACUAGGGCAAUGAAUGAAGGCUGGAGAGAACAUGGGUUUGAGGAAGUUUAAGGAGAUAGCAACUGCAUACUUGGUUGCCAUUUGAGUGAAGUGAAAGGAGAAGUGGUAUCGAAAAUGUUAUUUGGUGUGUUUCGCUUGGAGAUAAUUAAUUCGAAGUGAUGCCUGCUGUAACAGGUGUGCAUAGUGCUGUAGAGGAUGCUUACAGUUCAGCUUAGGGCUGUUUGGAAGUAGGGUCCUGAAGUCAUUCGGUCUGGGGGUCAUUGUCCUAAACAGAGAAGAUAGGAAGGAAUAGGAGCUGAGCAUUUAGAGGUAUUCUUUGUGGUUUAAUAUUAUACCCGUGGGUCAUCCUCAAAAGAUGUGCCCUUAUUUCCCCGGGGACUUUCGGAAACCCCGCUACGACCCCGCGGAACGUUCCGAGGGGAAGCGUCUCUAGGCCACCAGAGGGCGCCAGGCGGGCCGCAGCGACUCCAGAGUCGCGUUAUGGCCGCGGUGCGGGUGCAGCUGCUCCUGUCCGGGCGUCCGGAGUCGGUGAGCUUCGCAUGGAGUGUGUGUGGCCUCCUGGGAGCCGGACCAGGGCUCGGGACGUGGCCCAUUCACUGCAGCUUGAAGCGAGGACGGCUUGUCCUCUCGAGCAGGCCCUUCCCAGGCGCCUCCGCUAGGCUUCCGCUCCAGGUCGGCAGAAGGGGGCCCCAGAGCGGGGGCAGUGAAGGGCCGAAGAUGGGGACUGAAAUCGGGUGGGAACUUGCGGCGAGGACCCCGCCCCCAACGCGCGGUGUAGCCCCAUUUUUGGAAGUCACGCCCACCCAGUGCCGCCCUUCUGAAGCCUUAACCCAGCUGGCUUCCUUCUGCCAGCGACCCCCUUUCUGCCCUUUUGCGGCCCUGGAGGAGCGGCCCAGGGUCCCUGGGGCUGAGCUGCCCACAGAUCGAGGUGUGGACCUGGGUGUGGCCGUCAUUCUGCAGUCCAGCGACAAGACUGUCUUGCUAACCCGAAGGGCACGCACCCUCAGCGUUUCCCCCAACCUCUGGGUACCCCCGGGUGAGUAUUCUGGGGACAAGGCCCCAAGUACAGAGAAGAAAUUUGCCCUUUCCCCGCAACAAUGUUUUUCCCAGUCUCAGAAGGAUAAAGUGGGCCCCAAAAUGUGGCAUGUUCAUAGUCACAAGGGACUGCAGCUCCCUCUGUGUCCACUGGAGGGGAGAGGAGUGUCAACAGUGAGUGGGGGCUCCCUGGCCAAGACCACCACCAUUCACCUACUGGCCCCACUGUUGUUGCAGGUGGGCACGUGGAACUUGACGAGGAGCUGCUGGACGGAGGGCUUCGAGAACUUUGGGAGGAGAGUGGACUACACCUGCCCCAGGGCCAGUUCUCUUGGGUCCCUCUGGGUUUAUGGGAGUCUGCCUACCCUCCUAGGCUGAGCUGGGGUUUACCCAAAUACCAUCACAUUGUUCUGUAUCUACUCGUGAUCUCCCAGGAAUCACAGCAGCAGUUGCAGGUUUUGAUCACGAACAGGCAGCCCAGGGAGAGGCAAUGACUGAGGGGUCACCAUGUCUGAACCCAGGCCCGGAUCCAACCAAACCCAAGUGAGGUGAGCGCCCUUCCGUGGCUGACACCAGAUGUAGCUGCUGCAGUGGCUGCCACAGAGGAUGGGACAGAGACACCCGGACUUCUCCCCCAGGACCUACCACCCUCUGUCCUUGCAGUGGAACUAGAGGAGGAUGGAAGAGCCUGACCUCUGGUCCUGCACAUGUCCACCCUCCUGCGGAUGAUCCCAACCAUGGCAGAGGACAAAGAGAGAGUCAGCACUGGAACCAAGUUUGCCCUCAAGCUCUGGCUGCAACAUCUGGGCAGGUAAAAGUGAAAAAGGACUGGAGAGCUCCACAGUACUGGGCUGGAAUGGUCUAGUUUUUACAGGCACGGGGGAAAGCAGGGAAGGACAACCUCUCUUGGAAUUCCUCCAUAGAACACCCCCACCGUGUAAAAGUGCAGCUUACCUGGACCCAGGGCCAGCAAAGGAAGAAUGGAACAUGGACCCUCUUCCCCCAAACCAGGGGUCUGGAAAGUGAAGUGUAAAAUCCCCUCCCUAGCCCAUCUCCAUGACACUCACAGAACAUUCACAACCUUUAUUGUGGGUGAGAGCUUCACUACAACUUUAGAAAUAAGAACUAAAAUUACAACAUAGGUCCUAGGCCUUGGCGAGCCUGAAAAAGAAGAUUGGGAAGGAGGGCACAGGGUCUUUCCACCUCCCUGGAAAGGUGCAGAAUGAGCCAGGCCUAACUACAGGGCCAUGAGCCUCUAGAAGCUUAGGGUGGAAUAAGAAACACUGUGAACUUAAAUAUAUAAAUAGAGAGAGACCCAAGCAAUAGGCCGGGCCUGACUCCCAAACCCCUGGGGAUCAUGGCUAAGGCCUUACAUCCUCCUCUGUCAUACUGGAGUAGGAGGCAGGGGAAGUCAUCUUUGGAGUAUUUUGGUUUUUCUUAUUUAUGUACAAAAAAGUCCACAUCCACAAUCCAAAAUAAAGUUCUCUGUCCAUCUCUGAAACUGCCUGUCUCAGUUUUUCCACCUGUCUGUUUGGCCGAAGGGAAUGGAAUGGACAUGAGACAAUGGAUGUGAAGAAGAAAUAGAGCCAUGGGUUUGGGUAAUAAGAAGAGAGAGCAUUUGGGGUUCAAGAGAGGUGCCCCUUCCCCAAGAGGCUCUAGACGUAGUCAAGGCUGAGGGUUCAGCCCUUCUCCUAGCUCACAUACCAUCCCAUUUGCCUCCCACUGCCUAGGUUAACAUACCCAAAGGAAUGUGCCACCAUCUAAAGAACAUUUCCAGAAACAGACCCCAGUGUCCUUAAAAAGAGGUUAAAUAUUAACCCUUUGGGUGCUGGCCUUGUCAGGCAGAGAUGAGGCCAAAAGUAGGCAUCUGUGAAGGUCUGUCUGGCCAUUGGCCAGAGCCCCCAGAGGGAUCAGAGUAGCUGGGGUUGGGACUCCACAGCAUACUUGCUCAGUGUUGGGGGACAGCGAAGUUUCCAUAAUCCAGGGAACUCAGUCCAGGGAAAUGAUGUCUGACCGACAGCCAGUCAAAGAGGGACCUGAGGGCAGGGGUCCUCCAUGCCCCUCCCUCAAGGCCCCCCCAGGGGCCACAAUGCUGCUGACACGGCCAGGAGGGGGCGCCGGAGUGGCGCUGCAGUGGGAGCUCCCCAGCGUGGGGGCCAGUGGGCCCAGAAAGUGAGAAGGGGUCCCUCGGUACUGGAAGAAGUGGCCAAGGGCAUCCUGUUCAUCUAGUGAGGUGAUGACAGAGGGGCCAUAGUGCUAGGAAGAAUCAAGGGCAUAGUUUAAGAUCUCAAUCCUGACUUCCCCACCUCCCAAUCACUCAUCUCAGAAAUGCCGUAUGAGAGCAAUCAACCCCUGUGGAUCCGAAGGUAUUCUCUUGAGAAGCAGGAGAGCCUCUCCCUCUUUCCCCUACUUCCCUACACCCUUCCCCUUUCCCUGCCUUGAGAGAGCUCCUCCAACUUGUUAGGUUCUUGGCUUUGUGGGCGUCUGAAAUGUGUGGAAUGUCCGGUUAGAGCAGGCAUGGUGCUCUAAGUGCACACGGGGGUAGGGGUGAGUAGGCCAGGGCAGAAAACUAACAGGGGAUCUAGGAAGGAGGCCUAAGUAGGAAUCUCAGGAACUACCAGUGGGGCUGAGGAGAUAAUAAGAUACCUACACCCCACUGCCCUCACGGGAAAGCAGAUUUACAUCCCCAGAGAUCAUAAGAGAGGGAGGGGCCCCAUCAGUGUCUAGAAAGGAAGCUUCAGAGAUCUGAGACCUUCUGAAGAAAGAACCACUUACCUGACUCUCUGUCUGAAGAAAUGAAAAUAAAUCUAAACCUGGCAGGAAAAGAAAAAUCAAAAUUAACCUCCUAUCUGACCCCUUUACCACCAAAAGACAAAGCACUUUGGACUGUGGCCCCUUGCAGGAGAAGCAGGAGGCUUUGAGAAGGAACAGGGGUUCUGAUGUAGCUCUGGGGAGGGUGUGGCAGUGCAGGGUCCAUCUUAUGAUCCAUGUCAUACCUUGGAUGUCGGCUCCCAGUGGGAAGGCAGGUGGGUACUCAUGUAGUGGGAGACUGGACAGGAAAUCCCCACCCAACGUGCCCAUAGCAGGGCUCCUUAGCACCGAGGAUGGCUGGUGGCCAGAUGUCAGGACUCUGUGGGUAGAGAGGAGCUGAGGCAGCCAGCAAACCACAGAUGCCCUCACCCAGCUCAGGUCCCCAGGUUCCCUCUCUGUCCCCUCCACAUUUCUCUUGCCCCAGGCUUUGUCCAAUGAUCAGAAAGCAAUCCUGACUUCUUCCCCUGUCCGUUUUGCUGUAGACUCAGCCUAUUUUCUCAUACCCUUUGCUUCCAGGUAGGGCCGGGAUGGCAGCUGAGGUGACAGAACAGUGCUUCUUGGUAGGAGGCAGAUCCUCCUCAUCUGAUGAGCUUUCUAUUGUCAAGUCAAUAACUUCGACCUUCUUCUUAUUCUCUGAUGGAUUUCCCCCCUGGACUGGGCUGUACUGGAGGCCUGCGGGUAUUAAGAAGACUACGUCUCAGAGAAGAGGCCAUCCAAGAUUUAGCUUAGCUGGGGAACAGGGGGUCACUCACCAUCCAGCCCAUACCCUGGCGGGGGGCAAACCUCAGAUGCCUCCUUCUUGGGUUUCAUUGGGCACCAGGAUCCAUCUUCCAUGAAUUGGAUCUCAUCACAAUCUGAACAGGAACUAAGAAUCUCCAUAAAUAAACUGGGGGAAGAGAGAGAUGAAAAUUCAUGAGGCUGGGAGAUGAGCAGAACAGUAGCCAGAGUUCUGUAACUCACCUUCCUGUAUCUCAGUCUCCUCAUCUGUAAAAUAAGGACAUUAUCCAUCCUACUGGACCGCUCUGAGUUGUUGGAAUCAAAUAACACAAGGUAUGUAAAAGAGCUUUGCAAAGUAAGUAAUAGGUUUUAAAAUAAAUACAAUCUGAGGCUGGGUGCAGUGGCUCACGCCUUUAAUCCCAGCACUUUGGGAGGUACCAGCAGGUGAAUCGCUUGAGGCUGGGAGUUCAAGACCAGCCUGGCCAACAUGGUGAAACCUCAUCUCUACUAAAAAUACAAAAAUUAGCCAGGUGUGGUGGCACAUGCCUAUAAUCCCAGCUACUUAGGAGGCUGAGGCACGAGAAUCGCUUGAACCCAGGAGGCAGAGGUUGCAGUGAGCCUAGACCACACCACUGUUCUCCACCCUGGGCAACAGAGCAAGGCUCUGCCUCAAAAAAAAAAAAAAAAAAAAAAAAGCCAGCGUGGUGGCUCACGCCUAUAAUCACACUUUCAGAGACUGAGGUGGGUGGAUCACCUGAGGUCAGGAGUUCGAGACCAGCCUGGCCAACAUGGUGAAACCCCAUCUCUACCAAAAAUACAAAAUUAGCUGGAUGUGGCGGCACAUGCCUGUAAUCCCAGCUACUCAGGAGGCUGAGGCAGGAGAAUUGCUUGAACCCAGGAGGCAGAGGUUGCAUGAGCCGAGAUCACGAGACUGUGCCAUACCACUCCAGCCUGGGUGACAGAGUGAAACACCGUCUCAAAAAAAAAAAAAAAAAAUCUGAGCACUUACGUGUAGUAUAAGGAACAAAAGGAGCAGAGACACAGAAGUCCAUAAACCAUCUCCAAAAGGCACUGGGUCUUUGGCUUUCUAAACACUUGUGUAAAAAUAAAUAAAUAAAGGCACUAGGGGCCAGGCAUGGUAGCUCAUGCCUGCAAUCCUAGCACUUUGGGAGGCCAAGGUGGGAGGAUCACUUGAGGCCAGGAGGUCGAGGCUGCAGUGAGCUAUGAUUGUGCUACUAUACUCCAGUCUGGGCAACAGAACGAGACCCUGUCUCAAAAACAAACAAACAAACAAACAAAAAGUCGGGGAGCACUGGGAACAGGAACCAUAAUGUAGAUUCCAAAAAGAGGUUAAGACUAGCAAGAUCAAAAGAUUAGAACAUCCAGGCCCUCAAAAGAACGUUAUUGCAAUGCUCAGUGGGAAGUCAGGUAGUUGUUAUAGGUGAUAUAUUAUGACAGUUCAGUACACUGGCUCUGCCACUUAACAAUAUAACCUUGAGCAAGGCUCAAUCUCUCUCGGCCUCAGUUUCCUCAUGUGUAAUGAUACUACCUAUCUCAUAGGGUUUUUUUUUUCUUUUUUUUUUUUUCUGGGUGAGUGUCACUAGCCAAUCAUAGGAUUAUUUCUUUUUUUGAGACAGGGUCUCAAUCUGUUGCCCAGGCUGGGGUGCAGUAAUGCAAUCAUAGCUCACUGCAGCCUCAAACUCCUGGGUUCAAGCCAUCCUCCUGCCUCAGCCUCCUGAGCAGCUAAGACUACAGUCAUGAGCUAUUAUAACAUGCCUGGCUAAUUUUUUUAAUUUUUUAUAGAGAGAGGGUCUACUAUGUUGCCCAGGCUGGUCUCAAACUCCUAGCCUCAAAUGAUCUUCCCAUCUCAGCCUUCCAGUGUUGGAAUUACAGGUAGGAGCUGAGUCCAUAGGGUUAUUGUGAGGAUUCAAUGAGAUAACUCAUGCAAAGUGCUCAGCAAGAUGCCUUGUAUAUACUAAGUCCUUAAUGUUGCCCUCCCCCCCCACACACAUGCACAUACACACACACACACACAGACUGGUAAAAGGGAUAGAUAAGGUGAGAAUUGCAGUUCAUGUGAGGGGAAGUAAGCCAUAUGAAUUAAAAACCCUGAAGGAGGUGGUGGCUAAAAGAAAAAAGAAAUAUUAUAGGCUGGGCAUGUUGUCUCAUGCCUGUAAUCCCAGCACUUUAGGAGGCUGAAGUGGGCAGAUCACCUGAGGUCAGGAGUUCAAGACCAGCCUGGCCAACAUGGUGAAACCCAGUCUUUACUAAAAAUACAAAAAUUAGCCAGGCAUGGUGGUGGGUGCCUGUAAUCCCAGCUACUCAGGAGGCUGAGGCAGGAGUAUCGCCUGAACCCGGGAGGUGGAGGUUGCAGUGAGCCAAGAUUGUGCCACUGCACUCCAGCCUGGGGAACAGAGUAAGAUUCCAUCUCAAAAAAAAAAAAAGAAAAAGAAAUAACCAAGAAAAGAGGUUCUAGUGGAUGUCCUAGGUAAGAGGAAGCAAAAUGGCCCUACCCAUCAAUGAUAAGAGAUUCAUAGGGAGCCUUCUUGUCACACACAGGACAUGUCCAUGUAGGCUUCUUCUCAUUCAUCUGUAGAUAAAGGGCAGCAUCGAAGCUCUGCAGGUGGGCGCAGGUGAGGGCACGACAAGGGACAGUCAGGCGCAUCUUCCCUAGCUGAGGAGAAGCAAGUUCUCUUGUCAGAGGCCCUACUCUGGUUUCAUCCCAGAAAACUUCACGCCAGUAUCCCUAGGAACCCUCAUCAAAGUCCACAAGCUAAACCCAACUCCCUUCCCACCCUGUUCCCUUCUCCCCUUUUACCCACCGGGCACAUGAGUGACACCCGGAGACUUGUAGUGGCCACCUCACUGUCAGGGUCAGCAGUCAAUUUCUCCUUGACUGAAACAAAAGUGAGGCCAGAGCCAUGGGGUCAGCAAGGCUGGAGGAAGCCCAGGAGUUGGUAAGGCCAGGAACAGAUGGCUCUGGCUGAGAGGCUGCUGGGUGGAGCGUCUUUGGGGGCCAGUGGGACGUCACAUGGAAGUGGUCUGGGAUAUGGAUGAUGAAGGCUGGGUGUGGGGGAUUUUCCCAUCCCUGAAGAUGCUUAAACAUAGCGUGACACUCUGGCUAUGUUAGAGAUGAUCUGGAGGAGUUGAAGCAUCAUGUGAGGGUUAGAUUAGAGGACCCCUAAGAUUCUUUCCAGUCCGGAGAGCCCAUAUUCUAGCAGGGCUGGAGUUAGGGACUGUGAGGUGCAAAGCAGAUACAUGAUUGGAAAUUCAAGGGUGCCUGGGAGUGGUCCAAUUUCAACUAUAAAGACUGGAAGACUGGUCAGGGGUAGAGGGGGAGGGUUGGGGUUCAUGUGAGAAGGGGAGUAAGUUGUCAAAAAAGAGGUAUGGGUUUAAUUAUGAAGGCUGGAGGGCCAGGAAGACUUGAAUCCAGAUCAGGUGGGGAAGAGAGGAAAGAUGUUACUCACUCAGUGCCCGCGAGUGGUCUGGGUUCCGGAUACCCUUUGCUCUGAGUUUUUGUAGAAGGGUUCCUGCAGUCAACUGCCUCACCAGGUACACAGACAAGGAGUAAUUCUACUUGGAGGCAGGGGGUAGACAAUUAGCCUCUGCUUCUCAUACCACCACUGCCCACUUUUGUUCCAUGAGGACCAGAGACAGACUCAUAAAGAGGAAAAUGCUUCCCCAACCCAGGACACUGGAUGGUUCCCCUUCACCCUCAGCAGGCUUUUCCAGGCACCUGCUUUAGCUGUGCUCACCCGUCCGAACUCAGAUGACCAAUUGACCACAAUGGUGUUGGGAACAGUGGCUGAGAGUCGAGCCAGGGGUGUGAUGUUGAUGGGGCGGCUGGGCCUCUUGGGCUCGGCACCAUUCUUGGUUGGGGGAAGGUAACCCUGGAGAAGGGAGGGAUUGGUCAGUGGAGAAGUGGCUCUGGGAAGGGGCUCUGCUCUUUCAACAAAAGAUAUCUUGUCUCGGGUUAUUCAAUCCCUGGAGGGAAGGCCAACUCGCUCACUCACUGACCAAGGGGAUGGAGGCCCAUUCAGUGGCUCACAAAACUGGAGCACUGUCUAGGGUUAUGUGUGGGGUUCACUCCUGGGGAGAAAGGAGAGCUUAUUUAUUGACUGAGAAAAAAGGAACUCACUCACUGAGUCCCUGAGGAGGAGGAAUAAGGAUGCCUCACCUUUUCUAACUCUCAGCUCUGGGGUCAAGUCUUUCUGGCCGGGUGUACUGGCUCAUGUCUGUAAUCCCAGCACUUUAGGAAGCCGAGGUGGGUGGAUCACCUGAGGUCAGGAGUUCGAGACCAGCCUAGCUAACAUGGUAAAACUCCGUCUCUACUAAAAAUACAAAAAUUAGCCGGGCAGGGUGGUGGGCACCUGUAAUCCCAGCUACUUGGGAGGCUGAGGCAAGAGAAUUGCUUGAACUAGGGAGGCAGAGGUUGCAGUGAGCAGAGAUUGCGCCAUUGCACUCCAGCCUGAGUGACAGAGCGAGUGACUCUGUCUCAAAAAAAAAAAACAAAAAAGAAGUCUUUCUUACAUCUUGGGUUGAACUAAUGUCCUCCUCCGAGUUCUCACAAAACCUUUGUUCAGCCCUAUCUUAAUACUCUCGAGAUUAUAUUGAUUCAGUCAGUAAACUGAGCACCUACUAUGUGCCACGCACUGUGCUAGGCAUGUCUCUUUCAGAAUAGGUUUGUAGUUAAUAUACUGACAGAAGAAGGGGAGAGCAUUUACCGGCAGGGGGCACAGUUUCCCAUUGACCUUGACAAAGAGGUUGGGGGGAAAAUAAUCUUCCUGGGGGCAGCUGGUCUCACAGAGACAGAACCUGGUAAAAGAUGAGAAAGGAAGAAAGAGUGGGAAGAAAUUUCUUAACUUGAUGGCAGAGAGACAGGGAACCCCAGAAAAUCAGUCAUAGAUGCCUGAAGCCCUCAGCAUCCAACAAGAGUCGCAGGGCUGCUGUAGGCAGUGGCAGAGCAGGGACAUCUCGUAAGGGUAUCUGUCAUACCCCUACUUCACUCCUACCCCCAGUGGGUACCCAGGAUAGGCAGGGAGGAUGAACUCACCUUAGCUGCACCUGUAUGGUAUAAUCACAUUUGGCUCCUGGCAGAACCUCUCUGUAACAGGGAGGGAGAUGAAGAGAUGUCAGCAUGUAGCCCCCAGAGGGCAAGGGUGAAUGCACAGAAAGGCUGAAAGUUAGAUGUCCAGGAGAUAGAGAAGAGACACACAGAAGAACAAGAGACAAGUAGGUAUAGGAGGAGGGAUAGGGAAGAGCGCAGGGCAGAAGAGAAUAAAGUCAGAAAGCAGAGACCAGGGAUGAGGCAGGAAGGCUGGAAGAGAUGUACCUGGAUGUAAGAAUCUGCUGCACUUGCUGGGGUGUGAGGGCAAAGGUAAAGUGCGCUUCCUCAAACCGCUGGCUAGAAGUGGAUGCUGAGGAUACAAAGGGGCAGUUAUUCCAAGCCCAUGCACAGGCAGCCACAGAAAUCGCCCCCAUCCCAGGUCGCUGAUCCCAUAGGACUAAAGCCUAAGAAAUGUUUGGGGAACAGGUAGGGAGUCCAGAAGACUAAGGGACCACAAAGAGCCAUACCAAGGGUGGUGGGCCGGAUGAGCUCCCCAUAGACUUCAUAGAAGGGCAAUGGUUUCAUGGUGACAUCAGGGUGCACAGGCUGGGGCAGAGGGGGGUGCAUGUCCACCUCACGCUUGGGGCCCAGCAGGGUGCCAGGGGCCAACAGGGUUGGGGGAAUGGGAGCUAGAGGACCAGGGGAGCCUACAGGAGAGGUGCCAGGGGGCAAAGAGAGAAGGGAGAGAUCAGAGGGCCCCAGGGUCUUCCGGGGAAAGCGUCGUCGGUAAAGCUCUUUGAUCUUCAUCUGGACACUAGGGGCACAGCUGGACUUCAAGAGGUGCAGAGCCUUGGCCAGGAGCUCGUGCUUCCGUCCACUCUUGUUCCGGCCAGCAAAGCCAAGAAGCACCUGGAGCUCAGACACCCGGAAACUCAUCACCAUGUGCUGUGGAGAAAAACAGAGAAGCUUGAGCAUCCUCCCUUGCACAGGCCUGCCCUGCCAAGACAUGGGCUGAGCUACCAGGUGGGCAGUGCCUUUCUCUCCAGCACUGAUGGGAAAGAUGAUGCUUCGCAGCUGGUGGAUUACUGCCAGGUAGUCAACCUAUCCAAAGGGACAUCUCAGUCCCACUUUAGCAACCAUCAGGUCAGCAUCAUCACCACCCCCGAGCUUGAGCAACACUAUUUCCCCAAGCCUGGAAGCAGCCAGAGUGGGGCAGGGAAUGGCAGACAGCAAGCCACCCUCAGACACACCUCCGAGUCCAUACAGCCUCCCGCCUCCAUCCCUGGACUCUCCUUUAAGCUGCUUAUCUCCUCUCUUGCCCUUUCUCAGACUCUCAAACCCAUCCCAGCCUCCUGGGAACAGGAUAGGAGACAGGGAGAAGGAGGGAGAGACAAGAGGAUUCAAGCCAGACAGCCCCAUGGGGAAGAAAGGGGCUAGGUGGCUGGAGGAUUGUGCCCUUCAGCCCACCCCUCCCAACCACCUUAAUUCACCUCGGCUAUUUCCCCCAAGCCUCUGAAGCUUCUGUGGCCAGGGUUUUCAGGUCAGGGUUCAAUGCUCAUAACUUCCCCAGAUCCUUUCUUGGAAUCGUUUAUAUAACCACCCCCUCCCCACAACUUAGUCCUAUUUUUCUGGAAGGGAAACAGGACCAAAACUUGGGUCAGGGAGAUUAACAGUGAAUCACUGAGUCCAAGUAUCCUGCCUGUUUACUCUCUCUGCCAGGAACCAUAAUCUGGCAUCUCUCCUACACAGAGAAAUUAAUACUCCUCUACAACUUACAGCGCCCCCCUAUAGGGGUGGAAGAGGAGAGGGCAGAGCUCUAAACAGAGACCCUGGGUGGAUGAAGGAAAAGCCUCUGAGUCAGGGCACAGAAUCGCAAAUCCCCUGAAGGUAGCUGGGCCCAGUGGCUAGACCUCCAGCCUGCCCAGGACCAUAGCUCCCAUUUCAAAGGGCAGAAGAAAACCAGGAGGCAGGCGGAUGAACUCGGUAGUUUGAGGUUCUAUGAGAUGUCCUCAGAUGUGGUCACCCUCCAAACUCUAUGUAGCAGGAGGGGAGCGCUCUCCUUAGAAGACUCCCUUCUGUGAAUCUCUAGGAGAUCCUGUCAUGUGCAGGGCUUGCUAGCCCUACACAAUUCUUCUCAUAGGAGGCUUUGUCUUGGACCCCUUUUAUGGAAUGUGAUGAGAAACUUGCUCCUCUUUCUCCCCAUCCUUA
Pan troglodytes (chimpanzee) is the source of this 14109-nucleotide RNA transcript. It is a transcript of the gene named nudix hydrolase 17, with no coding region annotated. The record is from RefSeq and is a predicted model, not a curated record. The transcript has 5 exons. Lineage: Eukaryota; Metazoa; Chordata; Mammalia; Primates; Hominidae.